This 715-nucleotide ribosomal RNA is filed under the name fungal endophyte. Its description in RNAcentral is "eukaryotic LSU rRNA". The stretch from base 459 to 715 matches the Rfam family "Eukaryotic large subunit ribosomal RNA", at positions 1 to 255 of the family's 3401-position model. Lineage: Eukaryota; Fungi. The record is from RNAcentral.
UUACCGAGUUUUCGGGCUUCGGCUCGACUCUCCCACCCUUUGUGAACGUACCUCUGUUGCUUUGGCGGCUCCGGCCGCCAAAGGACCUCCAAACUCCAGUCAGUAAACGCAGACGUCUGAUAAACAAGUUAAUAAACUAAAACUUUCAACAACGGAUCUCUUGGUUCUGGCAUCGAUGAAGAACGCAGCGAAAUGCGAUAAGUAAUGUGAAUUGCAGAAUUCAGUGAAUCAUCGAAUCUUUGAACGCACAUUGCGCCCCUUGGUAUUCCGGGGGGCAUGCCUGUUCGAGCGUCAUUACAACCCUCAAGCUCUGCUUGGAAUUGGGCACCGUCCUCACUGCGGACGCGCCUCAAAGACCUCGGCGGUGGCUGUUCAGCCCUCAAGCGUAGUAGAAUACACCUCGCUUUGGAGUGGUUGGCGUCGCCCGCCGGACGAACCUUCUGAACUUUUCUCAAGGUUGACCUCGGAUCAGGUAGGGAUACCCGCUGAACUUAAGCAUAUCAAUAAGCGGAGGAAAAGAAACCAACAGGGAUUGCCUUAGUAACGGCGAGUGAAGCGGCAACAGCUCAAAUUUGAAAGCUGGCCCUUUUAGGGUCCGCGUUGUAAUUUGUAGAGGAUGAUUCGGCGAGGGCUCCUGCCUAAGUCCCCUGGAACGGGGCGUCAUAGAGGGUGAGAAUCCCGUAUGCGGUAGGUUGCCUUAGCCAUGUGAAUCUCC